UUUCCUUUCCAUUUUCCUGAGCGGAUUUCUCGCGAUUACAGCUAUAUUAUAUGGUUUCCGAUUUUACCUUCAAUCAAGUAUCUAGUCUCAACCUUGUCCCCAUACGUUCACUAUUACCAUUUUCCGAAUUCGGAAACUUUGAACCAUGAAGCUAUAAAACCGAGUUCCUACAAUCCGUCUCAACAUCCUCAUAACCCCACUCGUUCACCAUUCUAAAAUCACCUUCGAUACCAUCUUUUUCUCACGAAACCGAAACCACCAUCACCUUUGUUACACUAACAGGACUUGACACGAUCACCAACGAUUCCAAUAGAAAAACCCUCUUCCGGUUAGUAUACGACUCACCGGAGAAUCCAGACGACUUACCGGAGAGACACGGAGAUCGACGGAAGCCGUUUUGCUAUGUUCGGAGUUCGUCGGAGACAUUCGGAGAAGACGAUCAGAACCUUGCGGCCCUUCUCUCUCGUUCGAAUCGUCAUCUUCUCACCGGAUUUUCAACAUUGAAUCAAGAUCAAAGAUCCGCCUAUAUAUCUUGAAGUUUUCUAUUUGCAAUUGAGGUUUUGUUUUGAUCAAAGUUGGGUUAUGCAAGGUAAAUGGGGGAUAUCUACAAAUUUUGAUGGCACACGGCUUUUCAUUUAACGACAAUUUUGAUCAGAUACUGACAUUUAAGGAAAAAAUCUUAAUACAAUGUUGGGUAGAAGAUGCUGGAGAAUGAACUUAAGCGUAAUUUGGAUGCCGUUUAUGAUGUGGAUUUAUGUUCUUCUCAGUCUUCCACUAAACCGCGUAUGGGUGAUUGUGAGAACAAU
RNAcentral lists this long non-coding RNA (806 nucleotides) under Helianthus annuus (common sunflower). RNAcentral's name for it is "hypothetical non coding rna". The record is from RNAcentral. Lineage: Eukaryota; Viridiplantae; Streptophyta; Magnoliopsida; Asterales; Asteraceae.